This 253-nucleotide ribosomal RNA is filed under the name uncultured bacterium. RNAcentral's name for it is "partial 16S ribosomal RNA". It matches the Rfam family "Bacterial small subunit ribosomal RNA", at positions 524 to 776 of the family's 1533-position model. The record is from RNAcentral.
UACGUAGGUGGCAAGCGUUGUCCGGAUUUAUUGGGUUUAAAGGGUGCGUAGGCGGCUUUGUAAGUCAGUGGUGAAAUAUGGCAGCUCAACUGUCAAGGUGCCAUUGAUACUGCGGAGCUUGAGUACAGAUGAGGUAGGCGGAAUUGACGGUGUAGCGGUGAAAUGCUUAGAUAUCGUCAAGAACACCUAUAGCGAAGGCAGCUUACUAGGCUGUAACUGACGCUGAGGCACGAAAGCGUGGGGAUCAAACAGG